UGAGUAACCUGCCCUUAACUCUGGGAUAAGCCUGGGAAACUGGGUCUAAUACCGGAUAUGACUCCUCAUCGCGUGGUGGGGGGUGGAAAGCUUUUUGUGGUUUUGGAUGGACUCGCGGCCUACCAGCUUGUUGGUGAGGUAAUGGCUCACCAAGGCGACGACGGGUAGCCGGCCUGAGAGGGUGACCGGCCACACUGGGACUGAGACACGGCCCAGACCUCCUACGGGAGCAA
RNAcentral lists this ribosomal RNA (233 nucleotides) under uncultured bacterium. RNAcentral describes it as "partial 16S ribosomal RNA". It matches the Rfam family "Bacterial small subunit ribosomal RNA", at positions 118 to 347 of the family's 1533-position model. The record is from RNAcentral.